RNAcentral lists this ribosomal RNA (253 nucleotides) under uncultured bacterium. RNAcentral describes it as "partial 16S ribosomal RNA". It matches the Rfam family "Bacterial small subunit ribosomal RNA", at positions 524 to 776 of the family's 1533-position model. The record is from RNAcentral.
UACGUAGGGGGCAAGCGUUGUCCGGAUUUAUUGGGCGUAAAGAGCGUGUAGGCGGCCUGAAAGGUCAGCUGUGAAAACUCGAGGCUCAACCUCGAGACGUCGGUUGAAACCAUCUGGCUAGAGUCCGGAAGAGGAGUGUGGAAUUCCCGGUGUAGCGGUGAAAUGCGCAGAUAUCAGGAGGAACACCAAUGGCGGAGGCAGCUCGCUGGGACGGUACUGACGCUGAGACGCGAAAGCGUGGGGAGCAAACAGG